GCCUGUAAGACUGGGAUAACUCCGGGAAACCGGAGCUAAUACCGGAUAGUUCCUUGAACCGCAUGGUUCAAGGAUGAAAGACGGUUUCGGCUGUCACUUACAGAUGGACCCGCGGCGCAUUAGCUAGUUGGUGGGGUAAUGGCUCACCAAGGCGACGAUGCGUAGCCGACCUGAGAGGGUGAUCGGCCACACUGGGACUGAGACACGGCCCAGACUCCUACGGGAGGCAGCAGUAGGGAAUCUUCCGCAAUGGACGAAAGUCUGACGGAGCAACGCCGCGUGAGUGAUGAAGGUUUUCGGAUCGUAAAGCUCUGUUGUUAGGGAAGAACAAGUGCGAGAGUAACUGCUCGCACCUUGACGGUACCUAACCAGAAAGCCACGGCUAACUACGUGCCAGCAGCCGCGGUAAUACGUAGGUGGCAAGCGUUGUCCGGAAUUAUUGGGCGUAAAGGGCUCGCAGGCGGUUUCUUAAGUCUGAUGUGAAAGCCCCCGGCUCAACCGGGGAGGGUCAUUGGAAACUGGGAAACUUGAGUGCAGAAGAGGAGAGUGGAAUUCCACGUGUAGCGGUGAAAUGCGUAGAGAUGUGGAGGAACACCAGUGGCGAAGGCGACUCUCUGGUCUGUAACUGACGCUGAGGAGCGAAAGCGUGGGGAGCGAACAGGAUUAGAUACCCUGGUAGUCCACGCCGUAAACGAUGAGUGCUAAGUGUUAGGGGGUUUCCGCCCCUUAGUGCUGCAGCUAACGCAUUAAGCACUCCGCCUGGGGAGUACGGUCGCAAGACUGAAACUCAAAGGAAUUGACGGGGGCCCGCACAAGCGGUGGAGCAUGUGGUUUAAUUCGAAGCAACGCGAAGAACCUUACCAGGUCUUGACAUCCUCUGACAACCCUAGAGAUAGGGCUUUCCCUUCGGGGACAGAGUGACAGGUGGUGCAUGGUUGUCGUCAGCUCGUGUCGUGAGAUGUUGGGUUAAGUCCCGCAACGAGCGCAACCCUUGAUCUUAGUUGCCAGCAUUCAGUUGGGCACUCUAAGGUGACUGCCGGUGACAAAACCGGAGGAAGGUGGGGA
Molecule: ribosomal RNA, 1065 nt
Filed under: Bacillus sp. enrichment culture clone CBMAI_962
Lineage: Bacteria; Bacillati; Bacillota; Bacilli; Caryophanales; Bacillaceae
Description: bacterial SSU rRNA
Rfam family: Bacterial small subunit ribosomal RNA
Source: RNAcentral